RNAcentral lists this non-coding RNA (113 nucleotides) under uncultured Massilistercora sp. RNAcentral describes it as "FMN riboswitch (RFN element)". It matches the Rfam family "FMN riboswitch aptamer (RFN element)", at positions 13 to 133 of the family's 138-position model. Rfam says of the family: The RFN element is a highly conserved domain that is found frequently in the 5'-untranslated regions of prokaryotic mRNAs that encode for flavin mononucleotide (FMN) biosynthesis and transport proteins. This element is a metabolite-dependent riboswitch that directly binds FMN in the absence of proteins. Lineage: Bacteria; Bacillati; Bacillota; Clostridia; Eubacteriales. The record is from RNAcentral.
GGCUGAUGGUGAAUUCCCAACCGGCGGUAAAGUCCGCGACCCGGUGCAGUUUUUUGCGCCGGCUGACCUGGUGAGAUUCCAGGACCGACAGUAUAGUCUGGAUGAGAGAAGAA